AUGAAUGAAGCUCUGUGUGCGGAAUACACGGAGGAGGAAGUAAGAAGAGCUCUUUUCAGCAUUGGAGAUCUAAAAGCACCAGGGCCUGAUGGAAUGCCAGCAAAUUUUUUCAAGAGAUUUUGGGAUAUUGUGGGAAGCCAAGUAACAAGAGAGGUGUUGCAUGUUCUGAAUGGUGGAGAUAUGCCAGAAGGUUGGAACAACACGACAAUUGUGCUGAUCCCCAAGACAACAAGAACAGAAAGCGUGAAGGAUUUAAGACCCAUAAGUCUCUGCAACGUCUUAUAUAAAGUGGUAUCAAAGGUAAUUGCAAACAGACUCAAACUUGUCUUACCUGACAUCAUCUCUCCAAAUCAAAGCGCAUUUGUACCAGGCCGAAUGAUUUCCGAUAACAUUUUGCUUGCUUAUGAAUUAACACACUUUAUUAAAAGAAGAAGAUCUGGACCAAAAGGUGUUGCUGCAUUAAAACUGGACAUGAGCAAAGCAUAUGAUAGAGUAGAAUGGAAGUUUCUUGAAGACAUGAUGAUAAAACUAGGAUUUAGAAGGGUCUGGGUCCAGCUGAUAAUGAAGUGCAUAACUAGUGUAAAAUACCAAAUUAAGGUAAACCAGGGCAAAACUGAUGUGAUCGUACCUCAGAGGGGACUACGCCAAGGAGAUCCUUUAUCCCCAUACCUGUUUUUGUUUUGCGCUGAAGGUUUCUCUGCAAUGUUGAAUGAAGCUGAAGCAAAUGGAAGGCUCAGAGGCAUAAGAAUAUGCAGAAAUGCCCUUAGUGUUAGCCACCUCCUCUUUGGGGACGACUCAUUAUUGUUAAUGGAGGCAAGUGAGGGAGCAGCACAAGAGAUAAACAGGAUAUUAAGUACAUAUGAACAGUGCUCACGGCAAAUGAUAAACAAGGACAAAUCAUCAAUAUUCUUUAGCAAAAACACGGAUGAGGGACGGAAAAACAAUAUGAAGAGGAUCAUGGGCAUCAAUGUGGAGGGCUUAACCGGAAAAUACUUAGGCCUUCCUACAUAUAUUGGUAAAGGAAAAGCAAAGAAUUUUAGCUAUAUUCGAGAGAAGGUCUGGAAAAAGAUACAGGGAUGGAAGGAGAAAUUGUUGUCAAAAGCAGGGAAAGAAAUAUUGAUAAAAGCUGCAGCACAGACAAUUCCAGUGUAUGCAAUGGGGUGCUUGGACCCGACCAAGACCUUCUGUGACGACCUGAGUGCUCUCACAGGACGCUAUUGGUGGAGCCAAAUGGACAAGACCAAUAAAAUCCACUGGAUUAGUUGGGAAAAGCUAUCAAAGCCGAAAACAGAUGGAGGUAUUUCCUAUACUUGGCGAAGCAUAAUAAAAGGCAUACAAUUGCUGAAGAAAGGGAUAAUAUGGAGAGUGGGAAACGGGGAAAGGAUCAAAAUAUGGACUGAUCAGUGGAUUCCUAGAGGAAGCACAAGGAGGCCCAAUACACCAAAAGGUAACCAUCUGGUGGACAAAGUAGCUGAUUUGAUCAACCCGAUAACAAACCAAUGGGAUAUGCAGCUCGUACAACAGACCUUCUCGGCUGAGGAUGCAAACCUCAUCAUGCGAAUACCCAUUCAAGAAGAUACAGAAGAGGAAAUCUCAAACUUCAAAUGGAAGAAGUUAUGGGCGAUCCCUCUACCAAACAAAGUACUGCACUUCUUAUGGAGAGUUGCAACGUACAACCUUCCCUUGCGAAUGAAACUUCAUGGAAAAGGACAAGACGAAGGCGGAAGAGAUGAGCAAGCAAGAGGAACAUAA
RNAcentral lists this ribosomal RNA (1752 nucleotides) under Triticum aestivum (bread wheat). Its description in RNAcentral is "partial small subunit ribosomal RNA". Lineage: Eukaryota; Viridiplantae; Streptophyta; Magnoliopsida; Poales; Poaceae. The record is from RNAcentral.